Molecule: ribosomal RNA, 442 nt
Filed under: uncultured bacterium
Lineage: Bacteria
Description: partial 16S ribosomal RNA
Rfam family: Bacterial small subunit ribosomal RNA
Source: RNAcentral
CCUACGGGAGGCAGCAGUGGGGAAUAUUGGGCAAUGGGCGCAAGCCUGACCCAGCAACGCCGCGUGAAGGAAGAAGGCUCUCGGGUUGUAAACUUCUUUUUAUGGGGAAGAACAGAAGACGGUACCCCUUGAAUAAGCCACUGCUAACUACGUGCCAUCAGCCGCGGUAAUUCGCAGGUCGCAAGCGUUGUCCGGAUUUACUGGGUGUAAAGGGCGUGCAGCCGGAGAGACAAGUCAGAUGUGAAAUCCACGGGCUCAACCCGUGCACUGCAUUUGAAACUGUUUCCCUUGAGUGUCGGAGAGGUAAUCGGAAUGCCUUGUGUAGCGGUGAAAUGCGUAGAUAUAAGGAAGAACACCAGUGGCGAAGGCGGAUUACUGGACGACAACUGACGGUGAGGCGCGAAAGCGUGGGGAGCAAACAGGAUUAGAUACCCCUGUAGUC